UGUNUCAUGUAAUAUAUAUGAGAUAAUACCUGCCCACUGACAAUUGUUUAACGGCCGCGGUAUCCUAACCGUGCAAAGGUAGCAUAAUCACUUGCCUAUUAAUUGUAGGCUAGAAUGAAUGGGUUAACGAAAUAAAAACUGUCUCAAUUAGUCACCUAAAAAUUAUUCUCUACAUGAAGAAAAGUAGAUUAACUCGAAGGACAAGAAGACCCUAUAGAGCUUUAUUUAACAUAUAAAACAAUAUUAUAUAAAAAUUCGGUUGGGGCGACCCAGGGAACAAUUAUCACCCACUACAUAACAGAUAAAUAAAUCAAAUAAAUGACCCUCUAAAGAUCAAAAAAUCAAGCUACCUUAGGGAUAACAGGCUAAUCCUAUUAAAGAGUUCAUAUCUACAAUGGGGUUUGGCACCUCGAUGUUGGCUUAGGUAUCCAUACAGCGCAAAAGUUGUAUAAAGACGGUUUGUUCAACCAAUAAAUUCCU
RNAcentral lists this ribosomal RNA (480 nucleotides) under Polypheretima sp. Cebu1. RNAcentral's name for it is "partial 16S rRNA". It matches the Rfam family "Bacterial large subunit ribosomal RNA", at positions 1824 to 2597 of the family's 2925-position model. The record is from RNAcentral. Lineage: Eukaryota; Metazoa; Annelida; Clitellata; Crassiclitellata; Megascolecidae.